AUAAUCGCUCCUUGUAAGUCGCUCUGGAUAAGAGUGUCUGCUAAAUGACAAUAU
Non-coding RNA from Salmo salar (Atlantic salmon), 54 nucleotides. NCBI's taxonomy places the organism in Eukaryota, Metazoa, Chordata, Actinopteri, Salmoniformes, Salmonidae. The record is from Rfam.